UGGGAAUUUGGACAAUGGGCGAAAGCCUGAUCCAGCAAUGCCGCGUGUGUGAAGAAGGCCUUCGGGUUGUAAAGCACUUUUGUCCGGAAAGAAAUCCUUGGCUCUAAUACAGUCGGGGGAUGACGGUACCGGAAGAAUAAGCACCGGCUAACUACGUGCCAGCAGCCGCGGUAAUACGUAGGGUGCAAGCGUUAAUCGGAAUUACUGGGCGUAAAGCGUGCGCAGGCGGUUUGCUAAGACCGAUGUGAAAUCCCCGGGCUCAACCUGGGAACUGCAUUGGUGACUGGCAGGCUAGAGUAUGGCAGAGGGGGGUAGAAUUCCACGUGUAGCAGUGAAAUGCGUAGAGAUGUGGAGGAAUACCGAUGGCGAAGGCAGCCCCCUGGCAAGUACUGACGCUCAUGCACGAAAGCGUGGGGAGCAAACNGGAUUAAUCCCUGGUAGUCCACGCCCUAAAANGAUGUCAACUAGUUGUUGGGGAUUCAUUUUCCUUAGUAACGUAGCUAACGCGUGAAGUUGACCGCCUGGGGGAGUACGGUCGCAAGAUUAAAACUCAAAUAAUUGACGGGGUCAUGCU
This 574-nucleotide ribosomal RNA is filed under the name uncultured bacterium. Its description in RNAcentral is "partial 16S ribosomal RNA". It matches the Rfam family "Bacterial small subunit ribosomal RNA", at positions 357 to 925 of the family's 1533-position model. The record is from RNAcentral.